This 292-nucleotide ribosomal RNA is filed under the name uncultured Bacteroidota bacterium. Its description in RNAcentral is "uncultured Bacteroidetes bacterium partial 16S ribosomal RNA". Lineage: Bacteria; Pseudomonadati; Bacteroidota. The record is from RNAcentral.
GGACUACCGGGGUAUCUAAUCCUGUUUGAUCCCCACGCUUUCGUGCCUCAGCGUCAGUUGUAGUUUUGUGAACUGCCUUCGCAAUGGGUGUUCUGUGUCAUAUCUAAGCAUUUCACCGCUACAUGACACAUUCCAUUCACAUCAAAUACACUCAAGAACAUCAGUAUCAAUGGCAGUUCUGUAGUUAAGCUACAGGAUUUCACCACUGACUUGACAUUCCGCCUACGCACCCUUUAAACCCAGUGAAUCCGGAUAACGCUUGGAUCCUCCGUAUUACCGCGGCUGCUGGCAC